Molecule: ribosomal RNA, 484 nt
Filed under: uncultured bacterium
Lineage: Bacteria
Description: partial 16S ribosomal RNA
Rfam family: Bacterial small subunit ribosomal RNA
Source: RNAcentral
AUUGAACGCUGGCGGCAGGCCUAACACAUGCAAGUCGAGCGGAUGAAGGGAGCUUGCUCCUGGCUUCAGCGGCGGACGGGUGAGUAAUGCAUAGGAAUCUGCCUGGUAGUGGGGGAUAACGUCCGGAAACGGGCGCUAAUACCGCAUACGUCCUGAGGGUGAAAGUGGGGGAUCUUCGGACCUCACGCUAUCAGCUGAGCCUAGGUCGGAUUAGCUAGUUGGUGGGGUAAAGGCCUACCAAGGCGACGAUCCGUAACUGGUCUGAGAGGAUGAUCAGUCACACUGGAACUGAGACACGGUCCAGACUCCUACGGGAGGCAGCAGUGGGGAAUAUUGGACAAUGGGCGAAAGCCUGAUCCAGCCAUGCCGCGUGUGUGAAGAAGGUCUUCGGAUUGUAAAGCACUUUAAGUUGGGAGGAAGGGCAGUAAGUUAAUACCUUGCUGUUUUGACGUUACCAACAGAAUAAGCACCGGCUAACUUCGUG